UCCUUAGAUGUUCUGGGCCGCACGCGCGCUACACUGACGAAGUCAGCGAGCAUGUCCUACGCCGACAGGUGCGGGGAAUCUUGUCAAACUUCGUCGUGAUGGGGAUUGAUUAUUGAAAUUCUUGAUCAUCAACGAGGAAUUCCUAGUAAGCGCAAGUCAGCAGCUUGCGUUGAUUACGUCCCUGCCCUUUGUACACACCGCCCGUCGCUACUACCGAUUGAAUGGUUUAGUGAGAUCUUCGGAUUGGCGCCACUGCGGCUCAGCAAUGGGCUCGGUGGAUGCCGAAAAGUUGAUCAAACUUGAUCAUUUAGAGGAAGUAAAAGUCGUAACA
This 331-nucleotide ribosomal RNA is filed under the name uncultured eukaryote. RNAcentral's name for it is "partial 18S ribosomal RNA". It matches the Rfam family "Eukaryotic small subunit ribosomal RNA", at positions 1470 to 1796 of the family's 1831-position model. The record is from RNAcentral.